GGAAAGAUUGGUGUGUUUGAAAUAACAGCUCAGCGGCGGAGCUUUCGAUAAUGGAAACUACGCUACAGCUCUAUUGUCAAGAUGCAUAGUUGCUAGAUAGAGCGGACGUGGUGGACUGUAACGAUAUAUUGGUAUAUUGACACAUCUGGACCACUGAUGAGGAAUUUUAUUGGAAAACAGAGCUGUUACCAUAGUUACAAUAUCUCUAUGUGUGUACCAUUAGGAAUGUUUAAAGAGGGGGGACAGGCGGCUGAAGGUUGAAGAGAAGGAGAUGGUCACUGCAGUUCGACAGGACAGCAACAUCCACCAUGAAUAUUAUAACAGCUCUCAAUGAACCAUUGUUAGCUACAAACAAUUCUGAUAACUCAUCUGAAGUUACCCACAAAUAUCCGAAGCACUAAUGUGUGCAUAAAAUGUAACAUAGCACACCAUGCUGAAGAUUAAGGAUUCCUGCUUGACCUGUCUAAAAUACUGCUAUUCAUCUAGAAAUAAUAGGGUUAUGGAUUUGUUAAUGACAGUUCAAUACUAAUAAUAUCGUAAAGGUCUCAUGCAUUGAAUAUUUCUAAUAAAUCUGCAUAAGUUAUUUUUAAAAGUUUAAAAUAGUCGCACCCACCCAACAAUGGACUAAAAUUAAGAAAGAGUUUGAAAUCUAAUGUGUUAAAGAGCAUUUUUUGAAUAAAAUAUCAAAUAUUAUAGUAACGAAAUCCACAAAUAUUUCAUUGCGUUAUCAACAAAGGUAUGCUCAUGAUUCUUUAUAAAAAUCCUUUAAAAUAUUGCUACAAGAAUAUAUGUUUCUGUGCUAGUAUUCUAACACAAGUUUCUGCUAUACGCUAUACAACAAACGUAAAAAAAUA
This is a long non-coding RNA of Limulus polyphemus (Atlantic horseshoe crab), 854 nucleotides long. RefSeq lists it as uncharacterized. The transcript is spliced from 3 exons. The record is from RefSeq and is a predicted model, not a curated record. NCBI's taxonomy places the organism in Eukaryota, Metazoa, Arthropoda, Merostomata, Xiphosura, Limulidae.